UGGAACCGAUAAUGGAUCAGG
RNAcentral lists this microRNA (21 nucleotides) under Strongylocentrotus purpuratus (purple sea urchin). RNAcentral describes it as "spu-miR-5994". Lineage: Eukaryota; Metazoa; Echinodermata; Echinoidea; Camarodonta; Strongylocentrotidae. The record is from miRBase by way of RNAcentral.